Molecule: long non-coding RNA, 1838 nt
Organism: Chelonia mydas (Green sea turtle)
Lineage: Eukaryota; Metazoa; Chordata; Testudines; Cheloniidae
Exons: 3
Source: RefSeq, a predicted model, not a curated record
GCUGAGGUGAAAGGAGCUGGAGGAGAGGAAGCAUUGCUGAAUCCUGAGACAUUACCCUCAGAGCCCCACUGUAGAAAACUAGCUAGAAGUGAGCUUUCUGAGUGGUCCUGCUGGUUAAACUGCAUCCAGCACCUGUUCUUGGCACACAGACAAGAGAAAUUCAAUUUGUGAAGGUGUGAACCAAGCUCCAUGUAUCAGCCUGACAAGUGUCUAAAAAGAGCAAAUUACAAAUAAAUGUCCUAGUAGACCAAGCCUUGAAACAUUCAGACCCAGGGACAUCAGUUUGAUACAUAGCCUUAUAUCCUUAGACAGCCUUUGAGCUGAGAUAGCCCCUUUGACAGGGCAAGAAGGAAGACCCAGGUCCCUCCUGUCAGCCAGGAAUGUCGAUCCAGCCACCUGUAGCUCAGGGGCACCCAAAGGUGUAAGUUUCGAAUGGCAACCUAAUGAUGAAGAUUUGAUCCCAGAACAAUGGGAGAACCUGACUGAGACCAGCACGAGAACCGAUAGCCUUCUCCAAUGGGGACAAGGCAAAUCUUGACGACUAAAGCAGUGGCCCUAAUUCAAGCUCCAGAAUGAACAGCUUUACAGGGUAAUGUGAGACCCCCAAACUCAAGACACAGUGAGACAGUUCCUGGUCCCCAAAAAGUUCCACCAAAGAGUUCCCCACCUAGUGCACUGGUGUGGUUGGGAAGAGAAAAGGCACCAGAGAGGGUGGCCCUCAGGUUCUUCUGGCCAGGGAUACACAAAGAGGUCCUUUUCCGCAGGAAGGAAGGCCCAGGAGGGCCUACUGAUAACACCACACUCACCAGAGCCAGAGCUGGGACCAGCUGUGAUGUCUCCAGACCCAGCUGGAGUUCUGCCCGAUGCAGCGAGGACAAAUGCUACAACAAAUCCAAGCAUUGCCCACCGUGUUCUCAGCCCUCCCGGGGAAGAUUCUCCUAACCCACCACUACAUCGUGAUGACAGCAGGGCAGAGUGUGCACGAGAGUCAUCAACCCCUGCUGCAGAAGAUGUGGGAAGUGAUCUGCGAAGAACUAAAAGCUAUGCUAACGCUGAGAGUCAUCAAGGAGUCACGCAGUGAAUGGAAAAGUCCGAUCACACUGGUAGCAAAAGCGGAUCACUCAAUGUGGUUCUGCAUAGACUUUUGGAAAGUCAAUGUGAUAUCAAGGUUUGAUGCAUAUCAAAUGCCCUGGGUGGAUAAGCAGCUAGAGAGACUGCAGAACGCCAACUACAUCUCCACUUUGGACUUAACCAAAUGUACUGGCAGAUUCCCCCUUAUGGUGGACACCAGGGAAAAGAUGGCCUUCCCUACUGCCAUUGGUCUAUACCAAUGUGGGACUAUUCUAUUUAGCUUCCAUGGAUCAGCAGCCACCUUUCAGUGGCUGAUGGACUGGGUGCUGCAGUCCCACAAUCAGCACGAAGCUGCCUAUAUUGAUGACAGUCAUAUAUAGCUGCAACUGGGAAGAGCUCCUGCAGCAUGCCACCACAGUUGUUCAGGCCUUCAAAAAGGGCUAACGGAAUCCUGCUGAAUGCCACCUCAGAGGUAGGCGACAUGCCUUGGAUACACUGUAUGGCAGUGUCAAUUGCACCCCCAGUGCACAAGGUCCAAGCGUUGGCAGAUUGCUCAAUACCAUCAACCAAAAAGCAGGUCUGGCACUUGGCCAGCUAUUACAGGAGGUUUCUACCUGACUUCACCUACUUUGUAGCUGCUCCACCCUUACCAACCUGGUCAAAGGCACCAGCCCCAAAGUGCAAUGGAUGAAGGCCUGCGACCAGGCCUUUGGGAUCCUAAAGAGCUGGAUAAUCCAGGGACCAGUUCUCUUCCACUCUGACUUCAC